GGCCGGUUAGCUCAGUCAGUUGAGCGUGGUGCUGAUAACGCCAAGGUCGUGAGUUCGAUCCCUCUUCAGUCC
Molecule: transfer RNA, 72 nt
Filed under: Apaloderma vittatum (bar-tailed trogon)
Lineage: Eukaryota; Metazoa; Chordata; Aves; Trogoniformes; Trogonidae
Rfam family: tRNA
About the family: Transfer RNA (tRNA) molecules are approximately 80 nucleotides in length. Their secondary structure includes four short double-helical elements and three loops (D, anti-codon, and T loops).
Source: Rfam by way of RNAcentral